AGCCCAGACUCCUACGGGAGGCAGCAGUGGGGAAUAUUGCACAAUGGGGGAAACCCUGAUGCAGCGACGCCGCGUGAGUGAAGAAGCGCCUCGGCGCGUAAAGCUCUGUCAGCAGGAACGAUAAUGACGGUACCUGAAGAAGAAGCCCCGGCUAACUACGUGCCAGCAGCCGCGGUAAUACGUAGGUGGCAAGCGUUGUCCGGAUUUACUGGGUGUAAAGGGCGUGUAGCCGGGCUGACAAGUCAGAUGUGAAAUCCGGGGGCUCAACCCCCGAACUGCAUUUGAAACUGUUUCCCUUGAGUGUCGGAGAGGUAAUCGGAAUUCCUUGUGUAGCGGUGAAAUGCGUAGAUAUAAGGAAGAACACCAGUGGCGAAGGCGGAUUACUGGACGAUAACUGACGGUGAGGCGCGAAAGCGUGGGGAGCAAACAGGAUUAGAUACCCCUGUAC
RNAcentral lists this ribosomal RNA (448 nucleotides) under uncultured bacterium. RNAcentral's name for it is "partial 16S ribosomal RNA". It matches the Rfam family "Bacterial small subunit ribosomal RNA", at positions 328 to 793 of the family's 1533-position model. The record is from RNAcentral.